This 273-nucleotide ribosomal RNA is filed under the name uncultured bacterium. Its description in RNAcentral is "partial 16S ribosomal RNA". It matches the Rfam family "Bacterial small subunit ribosomal RNA", at positions 523 to 796 of the family's 1533-position model. The record is from RNAcentral.
AUACGGAGGGUGCAAGCGUUACUCGGAAUCACUGGGCGUAGAGCGCGCGCAGGCGGCUAUUUAAGUUGGAUGUGAAAGCCUACGGCUCAACCGUAGAACUGCAUCCAAAACUAUUUAGCUAGAGUGUGGGAGAGGAAGAUGGAAUUAGUUGUGUAGGGGUAAAAUCCGUAGAGAUAACUAGGAAUACCAAAAGCGAAGGCAAUCUUCUGGAACACUACUGACGCUGAGGCGCGAAAGCGUGGGAGCAAACAGGAUUAGAAACCCUAGUAGUCC